GGGGGAUUAGCUCAGUUGGUAGAGCGGCAGGUUCGCAAUCUGUAGGUCGGGGGUUCGAAUCCCCCAUCCUCCA
Molecule: transfer RNA, 73 nt
Filed under: Spirochaetia bacterium
Lineage: Bacteria; Pseudomonadati; Spirochaetota; Spirochaetia
Also listed under: 2 other names
Description: tRNA-Ala
Rfam family: tRNA
About the family: Transfer RNA (tRNA) molecules are approximately 80 nucleotides in length. Their secondary structure includes four short double-helical elements and three loops (D, anti-codon, and T loops).
Source: RNAcentral